GAUGAACGCUGGCGGCGUGCCUAAUACAUGCAAGUCGAGCGAACAGACGAGGAGCUUGCUCCUCUGACGUUAGCGGCGGACGAGUGAGUAACACGUGGAUAACCUACCUAUAAGACUGGGAUAACUUCGGGAAACCGGAGCUAAUACCGGAUAAUAUAUUGAACCGCAUGGUUCAAUAGUGAAAGACGGUUUUGCUGUCACUUAUAGAUGGAUCCGCGCCGCAUUAGCUAGUUGGUAAGGUAACGGCUUACCAAGGCAACGAUGCGUAGCCGACCUGAGAGGGUGAUCGGCCACACUGGAACUGAGACACGGUCCAGACUCCUACGGGAGGCAGCAGUAGGGAAUCUUCCGCAAUGGGCGAAAGCCUGACGGAGCAACGUCGCGUGAGUGAUGAAGGUCUUCGGAUCGUAAAACUCUGUUAUUAGGGAAGAACAAAUGUGUAAGUAACUAUGCACGUCUUGACGGUACCUAAUCAGAAAGCCACGGCUAACUACGUG
This 497-nucleotide ribosomal RNA is filed under the name uncultured bacterium. Its description in RNAcentral is "partial 16S ribosomal RNA". It matches the Rfam family "Bacterial small subunit ribosomal RNA", at positions 28 to 507 of the family's 1533-position model. The record is from RNAcentral.